Long non-coding RNA from Chelonia mydas (Green sea turtle), 4912 nucleotides. RefSeq lists it as uncharacterized. The record is from RefSeq and is a predicted model, not a curated record. NCBI's taxonomy places the organism in Eukaryota, Metazoa, Chordata, Testudines, Cheloniidae. The transcript is spliced from 5 exons.
GGCCCCCGCGCGGGAGAGCGGCGGCUGCUCCAAGCAUCGGGAGCAGGGAAGAGGCUGGAGCGGCGCGUGUCCGGCUGCCGGGCCUCGGAACGGUCAGAGACGGUACCUUUCGCUCCCCCCGGGCAAGGCUGUACUGGCGGCGGAGUCUCCCCUGGGCGGAGUUACUACAAGUAGAGCAGAGCUAACUUGUGUGGUAUUUAUAUAUAGAUAUAGGAUGGACGGAAGGGGGUGCUGCCGUUUCCGACAUAUCAAAGUAUAGCUUGUAUGUAUCCUGGCCGGGGGGGAGAGGCUCUUUCUUGUGCUGCACUGUUUUACUUCAGAGAUACAUGUACAGACAUUCUUUGCCCCCAGCAAUGCAUGUGCCUUUAGGAACCUGCAUAAUAGGUUUCAGAGUAGCAGCUGUGUUAGUCUGUAUUUGUGAGCUACAGCUCACUUCAUGAAAGCUUAUUAGUAACCUAAAAAAUCUGGUCCCCUGGCCCCAUGUUGCUUUUAUAUAGUGAGAGUUCAAAAAUUUUUUGGUUUUGUUCUUGUCUGAAAUGGCUUCUUGGUUAUUUUACCUCAAGCUGGUUUGGAAAUGUGGUAGGUGGUUGAGCCUAUUAGAAAGUAAAAGUCACAAUCUCUAGUGUGUUAUGGUUUUUUUUUUUUUUUUUAAUUUUGAAUGCUCAGUUAGGAAAAGUUAUGUUUUUAACUCUAUUUAGCUAGAUUUAUGUAAUUCUAGAGCAUUAAAACCUCACAGUUGCUUCUGCCAAUCCCAUUUGUGGGUGAUACAGAUCAAGGACUUCAUCAGUUAAGGCUAUGUUUUCCGUUGUAAUAAUGCUAAAAGAUGAGAUGCAAAUUUUAAUUUAACUGCUUUAAUUAAUUUCCAAAGCUCUGGGCUCAUGUGGUUGUUGGCAUUCAUAUUUGAAUAAACUUGGAAAGAUUGUAGGACUCCGUCCAUUACUCAGCUAUUAGUAGGACAGUGCGGAUACUGAAAUAGAAAAAGUCAGGUUAAUGACUGAUGUUUGGAACCUUAUUCUGAAUAUGUUGCUUCCUUUAAGGGGAACUGUUCUGUCAUUAUUGUAGACCUCCCUAAUGAAAUCCUGAGAUGCAGUCCUCUUGCUUUCAUGUCAGGAAUGUAUAUUAUCCUACCAUGUAAACAUUCAACUAGACUACUGAAAUCCAGUUUCUGCUGGUUCUACACUACAUGCUUUCCCAGACUGUGGGGCACAUCCCACUGGGACAGACCUCUCACUUGUUCUUCAGUCUCUAGCUGUUAUGGUUGUAUUUCACUGCUCACCAAUUAAGAUAUGUCAGCAUUUAACAACAACAGGGUUGUCCUAUAAAAAACAAUUUAAUAACUGCUCAGCUGAACCUUACCUCUUUCUGAAAAUGCCUGUCAAAAUUCACACUUUGUCUUGUCUUUUGACUUUACAGUUCAGUGCUGCUACCUUUCAUGGAAAUGGUAUUUACAAGAUGAAUAAAUAAAUAAGUCACCUCUUUCCUGCCCGCAGUAGUUCAAAUCCUUCAUUGAUUUUAUCGAAAGGCAAAGUGUGGGUUAUUAAGGCAUCCAGGUUGAAUUUUUUCCCCAUAUAGUCUGCAACUAGUUUUGGGACAGAAUCUUUGCUCUUCCAGCCUGAAAGACAGAAGAUUGUACAUUAUCUAUCAAUGUACUGCCACCGAAAUAAUCAGAGCAGUGCAUCAAUUGAGACUUUGUUGGGACUUGUCAAUGUACAUUUACUCAUGGAAUGCCAUGUGCAAACAAAAAGUUAAUAUCUUAAAAUGGAAGUGAUUCCUUACAGAGCAGGUUGCCAAAGAGCUAUAGUAAUACAUCAGCAGCCCCACAUUCUCACAUAUUCAUUUUAACCUGGGUCACUCCAAAUAGGUUCUGGGGGGGGGGCGCUAAAUUAGGCUGGAUGAAGCAAGCUUUACCAUGACAGUAACUGGUACCCCCAUCAUCUCCUGGGGCCCUUGGAUCCUUCAUAUCUCUCAUCCUGUGACCAUUACAUAACUGCUUAAUGUUGCAACAAUGUCCCUGAUCAACAGAACAGUGCUCAGAAUCUGUGAAUUUCACAAGCACACAAAAGAGUUUAGCCAGUUGUUCUCAUGUCAAUACCUCCAAAAACAGACCCCUUCCAGGUGCGGCCAGUGAAGAGCAGCAUAGGAUUGUAGGAGAUCUGUGAUGCUGUCGGAGGCACUCCUACAAUCACACUCGUUCCGUAGUUCUGGUGGCAGGAUGCCAGGGCAGCUGUCUGAUUUAAGACAAUGAAAUCAUCUUAAGUGGACAUUCCCAAUGAGAAGUAAAAUAAAUAUUGUGGCCCGUAUCCAUCCAUCUGCCAUCUUGAGUCAAGGAGGGACAAAAGUUGCUGGAUUGGGGGUGAACCCCAAUGCUGCUGCCUUGGGAAAGAAUGCAAUCCUCCACUCAGUUAUACCAGUUUUAUAUUAGUGUAACUCAAUUAAUUUCAGUAGAGAUCAGUGGAGUUACAUGCCAUAAACUGCCUCCUAGUUGAAUACGGCCAGCAUAGGACACUAGAUAAGCGACUCGAAGCUGAUUAAUUUUGCACUACAUCAUCAUCUUACAUCUUUUGGUCACAUACCAUGGUAUCAGUGCGUCCAAUGACUUCAAAGGAAUAGUCCACACCAUUACCACCAGUCAGCUCCAUCAGAACAUCUUCAAUGGGCUUUGUGAAGUCCUGAGGGUUGAUGCAUUCGGUGGCUCCUAACUCUUUAGCCUUGGCAAAUUUGCCCUUGUUGAUGUCAACCCCAAUGAUCCGGGAAGCACCAGCGGCUUUACAGCCCAUGACAACGGAGAGGCCAACUCCUCCCAGACCGAAGACGGCACAGGUAGAACCACGUUCCACCUGCAUAAUCAUAAAAACAUCAGAUUCUCUUAGAAUCCAAGUGAUAUAUAGUGAUUCCACUGCAUGAGUUAUCCUGUAAAUCUUUUCAUUUUAGGCUCUGCUUGUAUUGGAUACAACACUUGUCAAUUGGAUGAAAGCAUUUUUGCUAUUCAAAGUAAAGGUUCCCAUUACUGGAUUACAACUGGAUAAAACCUACCAAAGCACAUGUUGGAGAAUAGGUUUCUUUGGGCUCAGCCUGUUCUAGAGAUGAGGCCAGCUGUAAAAUCAGAUACUCAUGUGGAUUUGGAUUCGUAACCCUCCAUGUAAACUUUGGAGCUCUUCACAUCCAUGGCUUUGGUUGGAGCCUCUCUCUAGUUUUCAUUAAAUAUAGCCAGAAAAGAAACCUGAACUGGGCCAAUUUUGCAGCAUGAAAGCUGUUGCCACAGAAAACUGUCGAGCCCCGAAGAACUCCGUGCUUACAGGGAACCAAUGAUUUCAUAGAAGGCCUUUAUUUAUUUAAUAUAAAUUAAAGGAAACCUUUUUGUAAUUCAGAAAAUGCAAGAUUAUUUACUCCUAAAAAUGAGCCAUAAGAUAGAUAGAUAAAUAAAAACUAACAAACAGAGAAAACCCUACAUAUGAUAAUAAUACUUGGCUUUUGUAUAUAGCUUUUCAUCUGUAGAACUCAAAGUGCUAAACAGCAUGUCAGCCGCAAAGCCAGUUCUCCUGACUCUCAGGCUGAUGCCCUCUUUACUGGACUAUACAAAUAAUCAGCACUAUCCCAACAACAGAGUUUGUCCUUUAAAUGCACAUGCUAAUCCUCACCUUGGCACUAUUGAGGGCAGCCCCAUAACCAGUGGAAAAUCCACAGCCAAUCAGACACACUUUUUCCGGAGGAGCAACUGCAUCAAUUUUGGCAACUGAUGUCUCGUGCACCACUGUAUAUUCAGUGAAGGUGCUUGUACUAGCAAAUUGAUGAAUCUGUUUUCCUUUGCAGGUAAACCUAGUGGUGCCAUCGUUCAUUAAUCCACAAGCUGCACCAAGGCUAUUCAAAAGACAACCAAAAAUAAAAUCUAUACCAUGGAACCUGCUACGAGAGUUUAAUUUGAAGAUUCAAAACACAGGAGCAUCUGCUAUUUUGCGGAGAUGUCUGCAGACACGCUCCAGCGUACACGAACAGGGAAAAAUCUACAUAACUUCAAAUUCAACAACCAGUACAAACAAUCCAAGAUGAAACUCAGCUUCGACAACAGUUUUCAUUUUACUGAAACGUAUUCAAGAACAGAAGAUAGUCACAAAUCCCUCCUCACAGUUCAGAGUCACUGGGAAAAGAGUACAAGCGUUGGUGUCCCAUCUUACAGUGUACAGAGGAAGAUGAGAACCUCCUCCUCGGGUUUUAUAUUUACCAGCUCUAUGGCACAGAGAAUAUGGUGAAAGAAAUAAUAAACAAUGAAAUGGUAUUCUGUGAGAGAACAGGCACAGGAACUAAAUCUUUUGUCUGGAAGAUGAAUUAAGUACAUGAAUUAAGACACUUUCUGUGCUAGUGUCACUUAAUACUAAGUGUGAAAUAAAGUGUGAAUUUCAGUACCAUCAAAGUCUGAUGACCUGGGCCCUGAUUGAGCAAGGUAUUUGAGCACAUGCCUAACAAAAUAGUCACACUGACGUAAAUGGCAUUAUUUGUAUGCACAAAGGUAGGCACAUGUUAAAAUUCCUUGCUGAACGGAAACCCUAAUGAGGAUCUGAACUCAAAAUGGUAGCUCACAUUUGGUUCCCUUUGAGUGAAAUACAAAUAAGCACCUCUUUUGAAUGCUGGGGAACGGGGAGCACUUCACAGUCACAUAAAACUAGACGUGAACAGGCAAACAUUUUUGAAAUAGGAAAGAUCAUUUGGGAGUAUAGCAAGAAAGACUUAAACAACAUAUUUCUCCUCCAAAAUAUCCUUGAUGAGGCCCUGUGAAAGUUGAAUGUUGGACUACUUGUUUCCUCUGCAAUAAAGGAGUUCAUACAUGUGAGUGUCUUUGAUAUUGGAGCAGGGCGUGUGAAUGCUCAGUGAGAACUACUUAUCAUUGGUUAGUGCUUAAUGCUUUCUUAUACCUGGU